GCGGUCGUGGCGGAAUUGGCAGACGCGCUAGAUUCAGGUUCUAGUGCUCGCAAGGGCAUGGAGGUUCAAGUCCUCUCGACCGCACCA
This 87-nucleotide transfer RNA is filed under the name Desulforamulus aquiferis. RNAcentral describes it as "Desulfotomaculum aquiferis tRNA-Leu". It matches the Rfam family "tRNA". Rfam says of the family: Transfer RNA (tRNA) molecules are approximately 80 nucleotides in length. Their secondary structure includes four short double-helical elements and three loops (D, anti-codon, and T loops). RNAcentral also lists the same sequence under 2 other names. Lineage: Bacteria; Bacillati; Bacillota; Clostridia; Eubacteriales; Peptococcaceae. The record is from RNAcentral.